This 375-nucleotide ribosomal RNA is filed under the name uncultured Ottowia sp. RNAcentral describes it as "bacterial SSU rRNA". It matches the Rfam family "Bacterial small subunit ribosomal RNA", at positions 355 to 722 of the family's 1533-position model. The record is from RNAcentral. Lineage: Bacteria; Pseudomonadati; Pseudomonadota; Betaproteobacteria; Burkholderiales; Comamonadaceae.
UGGGGAAUUUUGGACAAUGGGCGCAAGCCUGAUCCAGCCAUGCCGCGUGCAGGAUGAAGGCCCUCGGGUUGUAAACUGCUUUUGUACGGAACGAAAAAGCUCUGGUUAAUACCUGGGGCCCAUGACGGUACCGUACGAAUAAGCACCGGCUAACUACGUGCCAGCAGCCGCGGUAAUACGUAGGGUGCAAGCGUUAAUCGGAAUUACUGGGCGUAAAGCGUGCGCAGGCGGUCUUGCAAGACAGUGGUGAAAUCCCCGGGCUCAACCUGGGAACUGCCAUUGUGGCUGCAAGGCUAGAGUGCGGCAGAGGGGGAUGGAAUAACGCGUGUAGCAGUGACAUGCGUAGAUAUGCGGAGGAGCACCGAUGGCGAAGGC